ACUCCUACGGGAGGCAGCAGUGGGGGAAUAUUGCACAAUGGGCGCAAGCCUGAUGCAGCAACGCCGUGUGAGUGAAGAAGGUUUUCGGAUCGUAAAACUCUGUCCUAAGGGAAGAAAAAAAUGACGGUACCUUAGGAGGAAGCCCCGGCUAACUACGUGCCAGCAGCCGCGGUAAUACGUAGGGGGCAAGCGUUAUCCGGAAUCACUGGGCGUAAAGGGUGCGUAGGCGGCUUAGCAAGCCAGGGUGAAAGGCAUUGGCUCAACCAAUGUAAGCCUUUGGAACUGUUAAAGCUUGAGUGCAGGAGAGGUAAGUGGAAUUCCUAGUGUAGAGGUGAAAUUCGUAGAUAUUAGGAGGAACACCGAGUGGCGAAGGCGACUUACUGGACUGUAACUGACGCUGAUGCACG
Molecule: ribosomal RNA, 407 nt
Filed under: uncultured bacterium
Lineage: Bacteria
Description: bacterial SSU rRNA
Rfam family: Bacterial small subunit ribosomal RNA
Source: RNAcentral